RNAcentral lists this transfer RNA (70 nucleotides) under Osteochilus melanopleura. Its description in RNAcentral is "tRNA-Arg". It matches the Rfam family "tRNA". Rfam says of the family: Transfer RNA (tRNA) molecules are approximately 80 nucleotides in length. Their secondary structure includes four short double-helical elements and three loops (D, anti-codon, and T loops). Lineage: Eukaryota; Metazoa; Chordata; Actinopteri; Cypriniformes; Cyprinidae. The record is from RNAcentral.
UGAGGGCUAGUCCAAAGUAAGACCUCUGAUUUCGGCUCAGAAAAUCGUGGCUCACCUCCACGGCCCCCAU